AAUCAUAUGACCAAGGGCCAUUCCACUACUCUCUUCCUCUCAUUCCCGUAAAACCCUCAAGGAACCAAAAAAAAAAAAAUGAAGAACACCAUUCUCUAAUAGUGGUUAGGAAGCAAGAAAAUCGGAAAAGAAAUGCUAGAGCAGCCCCGAAUUGGUGAAGAAUCUAAGCUUGGGCCAUCAAAUUGAAGUAUAGGAGAAGAUCUAUUGAAGUCAACUAGGGAUUAAGUUGACCCUGAUUAUGCAGGGGAUUACUGAUGUCAUAAAACACGGAUGUUGGGUGAAUGAAGCGUAGAUAACUUUUGCUACUAAUAUGUGUAACAUGACUUGUAUUUGUGGUAGUAUUUAUUUCCGGCUUGGUAGUGUUUUGGAAGAUCCUUGACUUACUUUUGGACUUAUUUGUAUAAUAUUAGUUUAUAUCUGUUAAUUUGUAUUUAAAUUUUCCAACAACACUUUAAAUUUUGUAUUUAUUCCCACCCCUAAGCCCUUGCUUAGGGUCAAAUCCAAGUAAUAGCUCGUAUGAUCCUCCCGGGCU
Spinacia oleracea (spinach) is the source of this 532-nucleotide long non-coding RNA. RefSeq lists it as uncharacterized. The record is from RefSeq and is a predicted model, not a curated record. NCBI's taxonomy places the organism in Eukaryota, Viridiplantae, Streptophyta, Magnoliopsida, Caryophyllales, Amaranthaceae. The transcript is spliced from 4 exons.